RNAcentral lists this ribosomal RNA (465 nucleotides) under uncultured bacterium. Its description in RNAcentral is "partial 16S ribosomal RNA". It matches the Rfam family "Bacterial small subunit ribosomal RNA", at positions 28 to 507 of the family's 1533-position model. The record is from RNAcentral.
GACGAACGCUGGCGGCGUGCUUAACACAUGCAAGUCGAACGGAAAGGCCCCUUUGGGGGUACUCGAGUGGCGAACGGGUGAGUAACACGUGAGUAACCUGCCCUUGACUUCGGGAUAACUUCAGGAAACUGGGGCUAAUACCGGAUAGGAAUCCUUGCUGCAUGGUGGGGGUUGGAAAGCUUCGGCGGUUUUGGAUGGACUCGCGGCUUAUCAGCUUGUUGGUGGGGUAGUGGCUUACCAAGGCUUUGACGGGUAGCCGGCCUGAGAGGGCGACCGGCCACAUUGGGACUGAGAUACGGCCCAGACUCCUACGGGAGGCAGCAGGGGGGAAUAUUGCACAAGGGGCGGAAGCCUGAUGCAGCAACGCCGCGUGCGGGAUGACGGCCUUCGGGUUGGAAACCGCUUUCAGCAGGGGCGAAGCUUGUGGUGACGGUACCUGCAGAAGAAGCACCGGCUAACUACGUG